Gallus gallus (chicken) is the source of this 387-nucleotide long non-coding RNA. NCBI's taxonomy places the organism in Eukaryota, Metazoa, Chordata, Aves, Galliformes, Phasianidae. The record is from Ensembl.
GAAGGAACAUACUGGGCUCAUGAGCUGUCUCUUAGCUCUUUCCUUGAAAUUUCAUUUUCUGUUUAAAUAGAAUGUGCUCAUUUCCCCUGUGCUGAAGGCCCCCAGUAACAAGAUAUAACUUGUUCACAAGGAGAAGAGGGUGCUUGGUUCUAACCACUGCUUCAGAAGUACCACCUCACGUAAUAAAGCAGCUCUCAUCUUAAAGUAUCUCUGUAGUCAGUACUAUAGAGUUUUGUGGGAUCUACAUCUCAGAAGGAAGAUUUCUGCUUGCUGUACUGAUGCUGCUGACGAUGAACAGUCCUUAUGUUGGAGAUCUUACUUUGAGAGAGUGUGGUAUCGUAUCCAUUGACUGUCAAUACCAAUGGGACUAUUCUGUUUGAAGUUCAG